CUGAGAUACACUCCAUGUGACUCUGCAUGUGCUGUGCAGCGAUCCACCAAUCGCCUUCGUCCUUAACUCAGUUGCCAAUCAGACUCACUUCUCAGUUGCCAAUCAGACUACCCUGCCAGCUGUCAAUCAAAAUCAGGGAGGAGAAAACCCACCCCUGCACAUGUUCUGCACAUGGAGGGAGACGUGUGUCCACUGAGAAUUACUUUCGGAACUUUACUCAUGACUGUUAAGCUCAACAAAUAAGAACUGUAUGGGUUUUAAAUUGUACAUUUCCGUGGACCACUCUACUAUAAGCAGUGCGCGUUUUGCGAGGUGCAUGCAAUUCUCGGAGGACAUGCGUUUCUCGGCACAACACCGCUAACAACAACAACAACGAUCGCAAAAUGAACAACGAACAAGCGAAAACCACCGAAAAUGAAGAUUUGUUGCCAAAAAGAAAAAGGAAAGUCAGUUAUCUGGAAUUAUUUCGGUUAAAAGAAGGAUGAUGUCGACCAAAACACGUCUUCUGUGUUCACCUGUUGCCACAAUAACGUCCCAGCACAAUAAAAGCUAAAAAUAUCUCUGAGACAGACAGAAGCCGUUCUACUAACAUUCACAAAAAGAGGUAAGAUCAGAGCAGAUUAACUGUCCUCAAGAUUUCAGCAGUGCAGCAUAACAUUAAG
RNAcentral lists this long non-coding RNA (662 nucleotides) under Xyrichtys novacula (pearly razorfish). The record is from RNAcentral. Lineage: Eukaryota; Metazoa; Chordata; Actinopteri; Labriformes; Labridae.